CCUACGGGUGGCAGCAGUGAGGAAUAUUGGUCAAUGGGCGCGAGCCUGAACCAGCCAAGUAGCGUGAAGGAUGACUGCCCUAUGGGUUGUAAACUUCUUUUAUAAAGGAAUAAAGUGAGGCACGUGUGCCUUUUUGCAGGUACCUUAUGAAUAAGGAUCGGCUAACUCCGUGCCAGCAGCCGCGGUAAUACGGAGGAUCCGAGCGUUAUCCGGAUUUAUUGGGUUUAAAGGGAGCGUAGAUGGGUUGUUAAGUCAGUUGUGAAAGUUUGCGGCUCAACCGUAAAAGUGCAUUUGAUACUGGCAGUCUUGAGUGCAGUUGAGGUAGGCGGAAUUCGUGGUGUAGCGGUGAAAUGCUUAGAUAUCACGAAGAACUCCGAUUGCGAAGGCAGCUUACUAAACUGCCACUGACGUUGAUGCUCGAAAGUGUGGGUAUCAAACAGGAUUAGAUACCCUAGUAGUC
This 460-nucleotide ribosomal RNA is filed under the name uncultured bacterium. RNAcentral describes it as "partial 16S ribosomal RNA". It matches the Rfam family "Bacterial small subunit ribosomal RNA", at positions 338 to 795 of the family's 1533-position model. The record is from RNAcentral.